GCUAACUUUGUACGAAGUCGUGUGGAAGUUCUGCAGCUCCACCCUGCCCCUGUGACCUCCCAUUCUCCUAGCUCUGCCAAAGGGAAGCACCAUGGAGCUAAUAAAAGGUUUGAUCUUGUCCUAAAUUUUCAAACAGGGGAUCAAGAAAUUGAUAAAGCAACCUUACAGACCACAUCCUAUUAGAUAGCAAGCUGGACUCUUUAUUACAAAAAAAAAUUAUAAAAGUAUCUAAUAUUUUGCUCCCGGGAAGCAAACAAACCCUGAGACUAUUAAGUGAGUAAUUCUGUAACAUAAAUUAAGUUUCAACAUAAAGCACAGUGCCAUCUAUCCAUUGUUGACUUUGGACAUUCACACCAAGGUAAGUAAUUGGGGUGGGGGAUAUUUGUAGUUUCAAAGCCAGGGUUCCUGAAGGGCGUGAUGAUAAUUGACAUGCAAACCCACUACCAUCUUGCCUACAUAGAUUCUUGUCCCAGAUGUUUGGUCUUACUUUCUACUCUGCCUUUCUACAUUUGAAUAAGCAUCUAACAGAUUACUUGGCACAUAAAUUUUAUGGAUGUUAUUAUAAUUCACAAGAAUAAUGUUUAUACUUGUACAGUAAAUUUUAUAGUCUAGCCUAUAAAACUUUUUGCAUAAAUUACUGAAUGAAAAGCAAAAAUAUAAACAGAUUUGUAGAAUAAUUGCUAUAUGUAUAGAUUAAAUCAAAUCACCUCUCCUGGUAUCCACUUGUAUUAAAAUAAUUCAUUGGGAAUGAAUUUAGAACGAACUGAAGAUUACAUAUACUAUUUAGCAAUGGACCCACAGAAAAUUUUACUGUGCUAUAAUUCUGUUUGGUUUUUUUCCUUAAAAAUUAUGAUUAUUUUUAGUCAUUUUCUAGUAUUCUACACACUACCUUGCUCCCCUUGUUUAUAUGAUGCAUUCAAAUAUGUCAGCACAGUCAGAGAAAGCAUCUAACUACACCUGUAUGGGUCUCUCUUACCUCAUAAAGGUGUCCUUGGCUCCAUCUUUCUUCUGCUCCACUAGAAACUCAUAGUCUUUGCUACAGAACAUUUUCUUGAUCAUUUUCCCACAGGCUUUCUUGAUUUUUUAUCCUACAGUGAAUUCUAAGUUCUUUGAAUUAUCAUACUUCUCUAACCAUAGAAAAAUAUGUAGCAAACAAUAUGCAAAUAAAAUAAAAGAGUAAUUACCCUAGACAUUGUAUAUGCCAGGCAUUUGGACUCUCUUCCUAGCAAGAUUUAUGCAUACUUGAGACAGUUUCUGCUGGGCUUUUGUUGCUCAAAGCUGCAGGUCUUUUUACUGAGACACAAGUGUAGAAAGCUAAGUCUUUCAUAUUUCAUUUCUGUAUCACUUGGGCGGAGUACAGGGAAAUCUGGAUACAGAAUAUCAUCUUUACCCUGUUAAAUAUGUGUCACGUCUACCAUUUUUAAACUGUGCACCUUUUUAAAUGCAACACAGGGCAACAUAGCAUUAUCAAUAUGUCUAGAAGCAAUGUUUGGGUUCAUUGUCACUUAUGCAAAUUAUUUUCUAUGCUACGGAAUGUCUGUGUGUCCCAGCUUACUUAUAUUUAGAAUGAAGAUAUAACAACAUUGCAGAGAACAGUUACUGUGUAUUGCAUGUGUCCAUACAUGUACCUCUCUCGGCAGAUAUAAAGUAUUACUCACUAUUAACUAAUUAUUCCAAAUCUCUUCCCCACUCCUUCUGCAGCCGCACCACACUAAUUUUAUUAAAAAUGUGACAUAGUUCUAAAUAGUGCUAGGGUUUCCUGUUUGCUUGUUUUGUUUGUGUGUGUGUGUGUGUGUGUGUGUGUGUGUGUGUGUGUGUGUGUGUGUGUGUUUUGAGAUCUCCCAUCUUAUUUUGGCAUAAGGUGUAGUUCAGAAGAACACAAUGAGAACAGAAACUACUGCAUACAAACGCCCAUGGAAACCUAAAACUCCCAUGACCAGAAUCCGGGAGCAGCUCCUGCUUUGCUCUCUGGCCUUACUUUCUGUGCCUGGAAUGGACAGUGGUGCUUGGGUUUUUUUUUUAAUAAUUUAAUACUCACACUUUGUAAUUUUCAAAUAUUUACCUUUUUUGAAUCACUAUAAAAAUUGCUAAACCAUCUUACGUAAUCCUUCUAAUUAUUUUAUUUGGGGGACUAUAAUUUCUUCAUUUCCCCCUUUCCUUUCCUCCCUACCAUCACAUCCAUCUACCCUUCCUUGAUCUAUUUCAAGUUCAUGGCCCCUUUUUUCAUUACUUUUUCUUACAUCCAACAAUCAUAUAUAUAAAAUACUACAUAUUAUGUAUUUAUAUUAAUCACACAUUUCAUAUGUAUGUAUUAUAUAUAUGUUGUGGGCAUAUAUUAAUAAUAUAUGUUACAAUGUAUGUAUUUUUAUAUGUAAUAUAUUUUAUAUGAAAUGUUUAUAAGUAUGUAACACUUUAUAUAAUAUGUAAUUUUAUAGAUUUUUAUGUGUUUAUAAAUAUAUAGACCUAAAUACAACCUACUAAGUCAUUAUGAUAUUCCUUGUAUGUUUGUUUUCAAGGAUGAUCAUUUGUUAUUAGGUAAUCAGUGUGUGUGCUUUCCCUGGGAAAGACAAUUUUUCCACUCUCAGCAUUCCUUAGUUUCCUGGAGUUCUUUGUGUAGGGUUAAGGAUUUCUCAUGGGUUUUUCUAUUGCUGCUGUCCUGGAAUAUUUUUAGCAUCAUCUGGCAGCUAUAAAAACGGUAUCUACAUACUUUGUAUGGCAAUCGAAAAGGGAAACUGAAAAGACUUAAACAAUCCAUACUUCAGCCUUGAGCUGAUUCUAGACUUGUCAGUCAGUGUGUGGGUUAGGUGACGUCAUACCCCUUUUGUUCAUCAAGCUACUGUAUUAGGAUUUCUGAUGCAUACAUUGAAAAGAAACCUUACCUUCUUAACUUAUUCCCAAACACUUUCCAAACAAGGUGUGUUUGCUUAUCUUCAACAUUCUGGCUUUUACAAUAUUAUACUCUUUUUUCUUAAAUUAAAUAUAUUAAUUAUAUUGUAUUAUUUUAAUUAUAUUUAAGUAUUGUCUUAGUUAGGGUUUGUUGUUGUGAGCAGACAUCAUGACCAAGGCAACUUUUUAUGGCACAACAUUUAAGUGGGGCUGACUUACAGGUUCAGAGGCUCAGUCCAUUAUCAUCAAUGCAGGAACAUGGCAGUAUCCAGGCAGGCAUGGUGCAGGAGGAGCUGAGAGUUCUACAUCUUCAUCUCGAGGCUGCUAGGAGAAUACUGCUUCCAGGAAGCUAGGGUGAGGGUCUUAAAGUCAUGCUUACAGUGACAAACCUACUUCAAAAAGGCCAUACCUUCCAACAAUGCCACUCCCUGGCCCAAGCAUAUGCGAACCAUCACAAGAGAAAAGAGAACCAAAACUAAUACCUGCUGUGUGGAUUUCAGGCUUUGAUGCUCUCUGAAAUCAUAGCAUAAUACUAAGAUAAAUACUGCAUCCAAGUGUCUGCUAUAGAGAUUAAAUCCUGUGAGGUGUUGGCUUGCCUCUACCUUCUACUAUAUACUACACACACUCUACCAUGAUGUUAAAAACAAGUGAACCUCAAGAAACAUGUCCUCUCAGUUGAUCUUUUUUUUCAGGUAUUUGUCACAGCCACUAACACAAGACCUAAUCUGACUUCAGAAUUACAGUUUGGAAGCUAUGGCUUUGAUUUUAAUAUGCACAGAGAUGUAAAAGUAUGCAUUUAUUUUCCUGAACACCCAUGCAUACACUUAACAAACUACCAACACAAAAUUAAGAACCUAAAACUUAAUGUAUCCUUAGAUAAAACAAUUAUGCUUACCCUUUUUUUGAUAGUUUUAUGCUUGUGGCUAAUAUUGAUUGUAAAAUUGUCAAGAUCCAGCACCACCCAGGAGACAAGCAUCCAGAAACACCCGAGAGAAAGAGUUUAGGUUUGUUCUGGGCAGAGCAGUGAGGGAUUAUCUAGAUCAUAUUAACUCUGUUAAAAACCACACUUUGAAGAAGGUCAGCACAAUUCUAAACUAAACUAAAAUUGCAAAAUCUAGCUAGCUGAGUAAAAACAUUCAUCAUUUCUGCUUCCUGAUUGCAGAAGUGAUGAGGUCAACUGUCUUUGGCUCUUGUCAUUGGGACUUCACACUAAGUGGGACUGUACCCAUAAUCCAUGAGCCCAAAUGAGCCCUUCUCAAAAGCCACACCCCUCAAGCUGCUUUUGCCAGGGUAUUUGAUCACAGCAAUAAGAGUAUAACUAAGAUAACUAUGUUUAUUUGUUUGUUCCUUUGUUUGUUUUAGUUAAUACCAAAUUAACUAAAAUUUUAUUCUCAGCACACAAAACAAGUUAAAACCUCUCGGAGGGGCUGAGGAAAUGCCUCAGUGAGUAAAAAGCUUUCUGGGCAAGUAUUUUCAAGGACUGGGGUGCAGAUCCCUAGCACUCAAUAGGUGCCAGGGGCACGUGGGCACAAAUGGGACAGCAGCACUUGUGAACAGAGACAGGGCAUCCUGGGAGCAAAUGGGAUGCCCAGACUAGCUGAGUGGAACACUCCGGGUUUAAAAGGAGACCAUGCUUUAAUAUACAAAGUGGAGAGAAGUCAAGGAAGAUACCCAAUGUCAACCUCUCACCAUCAUAUCCUCUCAUAAGCAUGUGCACACACACGUGAAACACAUAUACACAAAGACACACUGUACUCUUGAGGUAGUAAAUGAACGAAUGGGCAAGCAUAUAAAUAAAUAAACAUCUCUGUGUGCAUGGCAGUUGCUUUCCAAGAAAUCCAACUGCAUGAAAAAGAUAGAGAACAUGUUUUCAUCCUUGAACCUGAGAUCCAUUCCUUACCACGUGAUGAAUUAACACCUUGGGGAGGAGACACACUGCAGUAAUGUCUUUGAGGACUGCGAAACACAUCAGGACUCCACUAGCACAACUGAUACCCACAUCUGUAUCCAUUCUGCUGAUCAGAGCUACAAGAUCGGCGCUGAAUGGCACCAUCUGACAUAACAAAAAAAUGCAUCACACUGGAUGUAAAGGUUAGAUAUAAUUAUUCCGUUGAUGGGUACUUCCGUUGGUCCAACAUGCUCACGUAUGUGCAAAGAAAAUUUUUGUCAGUGAGAAAACGGAAGUUCAGAAUGAGAGCAUGCACCGCAGCUGGAGAAGCAGGAGCCCUGCACUGCAGCCAAUUGCAGCUUUCCUUUUGUCACGUAAUCUUCUACAAUAGGAGCAGUGACAAAACCUUAAGCAAAUUGGCAGCUUCUGGACAUGUAAUCAGAAGUCUGCAUUCUAGUUUGGAUACCUCGACCUGGACAACUCCAUUCGUCCAUUUCCCUCCUUCAGACUGCAUGCCUUAUAGUUUACUAAGUUCUCAAACAACUGAAUCUGCAGAUCUACACAUGAUUUUCAGGGAAUUAAUUUUGAACUGUAGAUUUCUAAGGAUGGGCAGUUUGAUCUAAAUGGUUCUGCGGUGUUUCCUUGCCUAGCCUAACCUGUAAAACCCUCUUGAUAAUGUUCUCAAUUUGUCAGAUGUUGCAAGAUAUUUAUUCUUUUUUAUUCUCUUUUCUUGUCUAUAUGCUGAACGAGUCUAUACAGAGAAGACAGAGGAGUUAUAAACAAGAUUUCUUUUUUUUUUUUUUUUGGAGCUGGGGACCGAACCCAGGGCCUUGCGCUUCCUAGGUAAGCGCUCUACCACUGAGCUAAAUCCCCAGCCCCAUAAACAAGAUUUCUUGAGCAUGCACCUUGAUGCUUGAUCACUUUUUUGGCAUUCGUGAGAAAUAAUAUGUAUAUUUAACAUACCAAAUAACAUGGCUUUUAGAUAUUCCUCUCUAGUUAGAUUCUCAUUAGAAUAUAUGACAGGAGGCUUGAAAGUACACAGAUUAAGUCAGAAGUUUAGUUCAUGACUAUACACUCUCAUGUAUGUGCCUUGCAAACUGACUUCUCACUUGGUGACACGGCAACAUUUGAAUGGCUAAAGACCUCAGUAGAUAUGUCCAACACUGUAUUUUGCUUGGGUUAUACUCUAAACCUGAUGUUUAUGUUUGCUUAACCUUUAUGUCUCCUUUUUCUGUGUCACACUGGUUCACAUCAUGUCCCUGCUCUUUCAGGCCAGCAGGAAAUUAUCCAUGGAUGACAAUUUAAGUAGAAGAUCACUUCUCUCUGAUCAGCUUCUUUGAUCAAAGCCUGAACCUACAAACAACCAUUACAUGAAUGACACCAUUACAGAGAUUUGAAGAGGUUCAUAUUAUUUUAAUGGUGAGGAAAAAUACCCUUAUCAGUGAAUAAAACAAAACAUAGACUUUACGCCAUAGAUGCCAUCCUGAAUUUGAAUUACCAGCUUCUCCCACUGUGGGUAAAUAAAUCUAUUUUGUAUACCGACUCUGUGUAUCUGUCCUUAUAGUAUUUGUUUUGCUACUUGAUCUCUAACUAAAAUAUA
Non-coding RNA from Rattus norvegicus (Norway rat), 6374 nucleotides. The record is from RefSeq and is a predicted model, not a curated record. NCBI's taxonomy places the organism in Eukaryota, Metazoa, Chordata, Mammalia, Rodentia, Muridae.